RNAcentral lists this ribosomal RNA (253 nucleotides) under uncultured bacterium. RNAcentral's name for it is "partial 16S ribosomal RNA". It matches the Rfam family "Bacterial small subunit ribosomal RNA", at positions 524 to 776 of the family's 1533-position model. The record is from RNAcentral.
UACAGCGGGUGCGAGCGUUAAUCGGAAUUACUGGGCGUAAAGCGCGCGUAGGCGGCUUUGCAAGUCGGGUGUGAAAUCCCCAGGCUUAACCUGGGAACUGCAUUCGAGACUGCAUUGCUAGAGUAUGGGAGAGGGAAGUGGAAUUUCCGGUGUAGCGGUGAAAUGCGUAGAUAUCGGAAGGAACAUCAGUGGCGAAAGCGACUUCCUGGACCAAUACUGACGCUCAUGUGCGAAAGCGUGGGGAGCAAACAGG